This 554-nucleotide small RNA is filed under the name Pan troglodytes (chimpanzee). Its description in RNAcentral is "processed transcript". Lineage: Eukaryota; Metazoa; Chordata; Mammalia; Primates; Hominidae. The record is from RNAcentral.
AUUGUUCUCUUACUCUAGUCAGACUAUAACUUUUUCUUGAGUUCUGUUAUUUCCUGCCACAGGACUUCUGCACAAGUUAAAUUCUCUCUUAGGAGUGCUUGUGCCACCUUCCUGUACCUAGCUAAUUCCUGAGCAUCCUUUUGUUAUCAGCUCCACCAUCUCUUUCUUAGGGAAGCCAUAAGUCGAGGUAAACUUCACUGGAGCACAAAUUAUUGUAGGAUUUGAAGAUGGAGUUGUUCGAAUUCUUGAACUUUAUGAUCCAAAAGGGCUCACGAUUUUUGCGGGACGGAAGAAAAUUUUGGAUGCUGAUAUUCAAUUGAAACAGGUUUUCAAACCCCAUACUGCUUGUGUCACUGCUUUAGCUUAUGAACGUGAUGGGGAAAUUUUAGCCACAGGGAGUAAAGAUCAAACUGUUUUCUUCUUUGAAGUGGAAAGGGAUUAUAAGCCAAUUGGUUAUAUUAAUACUCCUGGACCUGUGUGCCAGUUAAUGUGGUCUCCCAUGUCUCAUCCUGAAAGUACUUUACUAAUUAUGUGUGAAAAUGGCUAUAUUCUUG